UUUUGUAAAGCAUAAGGAUGUUAAGUAUGGAUGUAAGCUCUACCCACUUAUCAUUGAAUUAUCACUCUUCAUUUUAUCUUUUGUUUUUUUUAAAAAAAAAACUUAGCCUAAAAACUAAUUUUUAAAAAUAUGUAGAUACAUCACAUUUUGAUGUCUUUUGAGCAUAUUUUUCAACUUUCUAUUCAGAAUGACCGGUGUGGAAGGCUGCAUUUCGUAAAACACUUCCAGUAAAAUUAUUGGCCAAUGAAGUUUUAUUUACGAUUUUUGAAUUAGCUAGCCUCUCCUCUUUUGAAUGUUCUCUACGUUAUUUUUUGCUGAUUCCUUCUUUCAUUGUUUGAUUAAAUCAGAUAUCUUACAACAGAACAUAUGCUUCUGUCAGGAUUUGGCAUCGGUUGCCCUUGUAAUCGGAAAGGCUCAUUCAUUGAAUCUCCUAACAAAAUCUUCUUGAUCUUAUUUGCUACGUUCAAUUAGAUUAGUUGUUCUUGGCUUUCCAAAAGACAUGAAUGUUUACAUUUCUCUUGUUGCACUUCUCCGCAUAGAUGAAAGAUUUCUGAAAAUGGCUGGCACUUGAACCUUAUGAAAAAGAAGGAGGUAGGCAUAUAAACACCUACUGAUUGAUAACGAGCAUGCAUGUAUUAGGAAAGUGAUCAUUCCAUUUCCAUUUCAAGUUUUUCAACACAGGUAAUACGAACUGCUAUCUGUUGCUAAGCUAUUAGAAAGACAUUCGGCAUUGUCUGAGAAUCUUAGCAGUAGAGAAGAUGCAGAGCAUUUAUCUGAUAUCUAUUCAGAAUGAAUUGGCAGAUCAACAGUCCUUUCUUUAAUUUAUUUGUAUUAUUUUAUAUAUAUCCAUCUUUAAAAAUUGCAG
Molecule: long non-coding RNA, 865 nt
Filed under: Populus trichocarpa (black cottonwood)
Lineage: Eukaryota; Viridiplantae; Streptophyta; Magnoliopsida; Malpighiales; Salicaceae
Description: long non-coding RNA (PTRI_LNC003873)
Source: RNAcentral